Molecule: long non-coding RNA, 3920 nt
Filed under: Equus asinus (donkey)
Lineage: Eukaryota; Metazoa; Chordata; Mammalia; Perissodactyla; Equidae
Description: lncRNA (ENSEASG00005027082.1)
Source: RNAcentral
AUGGUACUAAGUAAUAAUCUGUAAAGUUUUAUAUGAAACCUUUACGAGGUUGAUAAAACAUGAGGGACAGCUAUUUGGUCUUGAGAGCAGUGUGCAUGUGUACAAUUUACAGUCAAUAAAUAAAUGUAUUCACAAGAAAUAUAUUAUUUUUUCCAAGAAAAAAACCAGAGUUAAUGAAAAUAUGUUUGAGGAUUCUUAAAAUAAUCAGAUGUAGUAUGGAACACAAAUCAUGUACAAACCCAUAUUGAACUUGCAAACUGAAAUCUCAAAAUCCCACUGGUAAUCUUCUUUGAGAAAUAACAACCUUUAAUUAACUAUCAAACUUUUCACGGACACCAUUAACAUCUUCUAAAAAAAUAUCAAUUCCUUGGAAACACACAAAGAUGUGCUUUUAUAAUGCCAAACUUGUAUACACACACACACACACACGCACACAAAUACAAAUAAUUCCACACUGCAUUGAUAUACUAGAUUUUUUGUGAAAGUCAUUUUAAAUAUUGUGGUAAAUUGUGUGAGCAGUAAUUGUGUCUCAACUGGUCAGAACUGCAGAAGCAAAGGAACAGUCGGAAAACAACCAGACUAAUCCAGUUGAUUGACAUGUCUAUCAUGGAAAGAAAAAAAUGUACUGCCAUAGGAAGUGGCUAUCUUUAUCUUUUAAACUAACGUUGUUCUCCGAUCAGCUACCCCGUGCACUUGUUUUAGCAGUUGUUGGAAAAUAGACUAUGCAUGGUGACCUAGAAAGAAUGCUGGACUAGGACUUGGGAAGCUAGCCAUGUGACCUUGGCUAAGAGUCAAGUUACUUUUCUCUAGUCUCAGUUUCCGAAUCUGUAAAAUGGCUAUAAAAAUUCCACCCUGCUUAUUUCAUGAAGAUGAUCUGAUCCACCCCCUCAUUUCAUGCAUGAGAAAACUGAGCGAAGUGACUCUCUUAAGGUCACAUAGCUAAUCAGUGACAGAACCAGGACUAGAAAUAAAAGUCUUUUGAAGACUUGGACUUUCUGCAGGAACAAAGCAGCCAUUGAAGCAAUAGACAGGAAAGCGCUCUGAGCAGUGUCCUAGAAGGAAGCACCAUGGAGUGCAUCUGCUCAACCACAGUCAAGAUCAUCGUGCGGCCAUUAAUUCAGAAACGCUUUUUGAGACUGUACCUGCACACUCAGCAAUAGCCAUCUUGCUUUUAGAAUCGGGUACAAUAUCUCAUUUUUCAAUGAAGACACAAGGAGGAAACAAUUAAGUGAAUUAAUCCAGACACUGAAGUGGAUUUUCAAAGACUUGACUUGCCCAAGCUAGUUUUCUACAAAGCCCUAAAUUAAUCAGAUAAUUGCUAAUUCUCCCUUUUGUUUUGUGCUGAGGAGAGUCUGUAUUUGUUGAAAUGAGCCUGGUAGCAGAAUAAACAGUCAUUUAAAAGAUUUCAAAAAAUUAAAAAAUCCCAAUUCUGAGCUAAGUGACCACGAGUUUCUAAGCACACUAUUUUUUUAGGCAUCUUCUCCAGUCAUUGCUUUAAUUUUCUUUAUCUGAAUGUGAAUAUUAAUACUGCUUUUAUGAUUUAAAGAGGGUUUUUUAAACAAAUGAAUGAAAACAAUCAACCUAAACUGAUCCUCUGGAAUAUUAUAAACAUGCUUUUUUACAUUGUCAGUAGAACAAAAAUUUAAAUGCCUCUCCCAAGCAUGACUAAAAACCACAGUUGAGUCUUAGAUUAAAUUCUUACUGACACAUUUGAAAAAUAUAGUCAGUACGGUUUUGAAUAAUCUCCACUUAACAGCUAUCAAAGUUUUAAAAUUAAGCAAACAAUGCUAAUUGCCCUCCUUCUAAGCCCAGGAGGGAAGUUUAGAAAGCAAUUGAAUUAAUUGGCUCUGAAAGAUUAAUUACAUAUGAAAUGAGACUCAUUGGACCUUUCCUGUUUCAUCAGAAUUUCAGACUGAAGGACAACUGGUCUUAUCGUUUAGAAUUUCUUUGCGGUUCAUCUAGCAUAGAAUAGACUAUUGUGAUGAUAAUUAAAUAUUUUACCCAAAUAAAUUUAGGACUGGAACAUUAAAAUGAACUGGAGUGAACAUGGAACUCUUCCACUGUAUUCAGUUCUUGCAUCUCAAUGUAAAGAUUUUACUGUGUGUGUGUGUGUGUGUGUGUGAUCAUUGAAUUAAUAAGUUAACUUUCAAAUUCAGCACAGCAGUGUAAUUUGGUUUUCCCAUAUUGAGCAUAAACCCAAGCGAAAAUGUGACUAAAAAUUUUAUGUAACAUAAUAGCUGUUGAUUACUCAGAUAGUUUUCAUAAACAGUUGGCAGAUUUUAAAUUAUGACAGCUGUCACUAUAAAUUCAAAGUAAAUGUUAAUUUAGAAUAUUAAACUUGCGAAUGUUUCUGCAAAUAAGGCUCGUACUAUUUCCAAAGAUUACAGAAAGUCACUAGAGGGUUUUUAACCAAACUUAGUGUAACUUUACCCUCACUGCUUUAAAAUUCUUCAGUUUGACACAUGAAAGUCUUUAAUCGUACUUGAAUGGCUUUUCAGCGAUUCCCUUGAGGAUGCUAUCUGCAUAAGAAAAUGCAUGUGAUAGGUUUAUGUCUUGGAGGUGAGAGAAGAAAUAAACUAAAGAAACAGUAGUGCCAGAGAUGCACUAUACUCUUUUAUAUAAGAAAACAAGAAAAGCAUUGGCAUCAAGUAAAGCUCCACCGCCUGUUUACUAAAUAAAGUAACCUGCAAAUACUUAGAGCAAUUACAGCCUAGGAUCCCAGGCUCUGAAGGACCGAUUGUAGGCUAAAGUUAGCACUCUUCUGUUUUGUCCUUUUGAGCAACUUAUUUCCAAGUAAAAUUUCCAUGACACUGCAAACUCUUUUCUACAAAUUACGAAAAUGGCAUGGAGUAUCGUCUUUACUCUGAUACACACAUGUAGCAUAAUGUAGUAUUCAAGUAUAGAAAUGCUUGUUUUUAAUUGAUUAAAACCAUCUUUCUCUUAGAACAUACAGGAAAAGUGAAGUGAAAGCAACAACAACACACAAAAUGCUGUACCUGCAGCAGAGGAACUCUUUCCAGCACUCACCCUUUCUGCAAGUUAGUUUCUCCUUGGCAGCACUUCUAUGCCAAAUGCUUCUACCUUCCCAAAAAUGUAUGUCAGCACAAGCCCAGACGAAACUUCAAAUCCAAGAAAAUAAAAUUAACCAUGCAGAUCAAAGGCAGACAAGCAGGGAGAUGAAAUGCCCGUAAUCUGAUCGGUGAUCAGUUGCAGAACAUCAAAGGCAGGGCUAAAUUUAUACAGAUGCACGGAUAUUAAGAAAGUUCACUUUCAGCAGGUAGUCACCCUCGAGCCUCCUCGUCCACAAAUUCUUUUGUUUAACCCGAUCACGUUGUUUUCCUCCUUUUUUUUUUUUUUUUUUUUUUUUUUGCAGCGGGGCAAUACCGGCGGUUCUCCCAAGCUUGGGCUGAGUGGCUGGAUCUGUAGCCUUUUCGGUUCCCAAGCUGUGUUGUGGAUUGUGUGUUGGAAGCCUUGCCUAGUGCCAGCGGGUUCUGCUUUAUCCCUUUCAUCUCUCUGAGCUGCAGAUCCCAUGACAUCAUUCAGCGCCUUGGGACUGGCAUCAUUUCUCAAAGACGCACAGAGCUCAGACAGCAUCUGAAGCGCGGUGGGCUUCUCCAGGACUUCUCGAAAGUAGACCAGGAAAGCUCCUGUGAAGCUGGACUCCACAUGACGUUUCCUGGGCUCCUCUGAAUACAUAGACAAUAUUUAAAAGGACAGUGUUUCCAAGUGGGCACGUGCCCAUUUCUUCUCUGAGGUAGCACAGACCUGCAACCGCGUGCGAUCCAUGUUCUGUCAAACUGCGCUCAGAAAUAAAGUUUCCUGACACACUGAUGUGUUAAAUCAUAACAAGUACAUGUUCUGCAAGGUUCUUUGGAGAAGCAGGUCAAUCCGAAAGUCUUUAUAGAAUUUAAGAACAGUAG